This 375-nucleotide unclassified non-coding RNA is filed under the name uncultured Rubrobacterales bacterium. RNAcentral describes it as "contains 16S-23S intergenic spacer region". The record is from RNAcentral. Lineage: Bacteria; Bacillati; Actinomycetota; Rubrobacteria; Rubrobacterales.
UCCGGUUUGUCACCGGCAGUCUGGCGCGAGUCCCCAACUUAAUGAUGGCAACACGCCACGGGGGUUGCGCUCGUUGCGGGACUUAACCCAACAUCUCACGACACGAGCUGACGACAGCCAUGCAGCAUCUGUGGCGCACCCUCGAAGGUCACACGUUUCCGUGCGCUUGCAGCGCCAUGUCAAGCCCAGGUAAGGUUCUUCGCGUUGCAUCGAAUUAAAGAACAUGCUCCGCUGCUUGUGCGGGCCCCCGUCAAUUCUUUUGAGUUUUAGCCUUGCGGCCGUAGUCCCCAGGCGGAGUACUUAUCGCGUUAGCUGCGGCACCGAGGGGGUCGAUACCCCCGACACCUAGUACUCAUCGUUUACAGCGUGGACUAC